UGUGGCACAUGGAGCGAUCACAGGCUCCAGGGUGUCAGCCAGCUCUCUGCCUCAGCCCAGAAUCACUGAUGUGCUCCUGUAUUCUCCCUGGAACUGUGCCAUUGAUGGUGAAGCAGCUACAGGACGCAUGAAGCCUCAGCACAGAGAGUUUUAUAGUAGAAAAGAAAAGGGCUGCACAAUUCCUGAUGCAGAGCAUCGACCCACCAAACUUCCAGAUGAGUGGAACUCCAUGAGGAAGGCUGGAGAUCAAAAGAUUCCUAACAUCAUGCUGGGUCCUCUAAAACCUAAAGAUGGUGCACGGAAAUACUUUGAGAUUCUUGAGACUCAGCACGGUGAAGCUGGGAGAAACUGCAUCGUUAUCCCGUUCCUCCUCCCAGGUUUGAAGCCACCCUGCAUCUCACUGUAGACGUGAAACCAUGAAGAUUGAUGAGGAUGCUCUGAUGAACCAGUACGCAUUGAUAACACUGCAGUGACAUCUUCAGCGGACCUGUCAGAACAAGAGCCUGAUGACCUGUUCAGAGCUUUUAAAGCUCUAUUCGGAGGAGGCCAGAGUUCCCAGAGGAAACCCACCCAGGAAGACCAAACUCCACAGGAAGACGUCCAAAAAUGAUGGAAACCCCUGAGACUGACUUCCUGUUUCAGACAUUUAGGAAACAUUUUAAUGAUCCUCACAGUCUUUCAUUGGUGUCAUAAUGAACUGAAAUGCUCAGAGGUAUAACUGCUGUAUUAGCAGCAGUGACAGCAUAAAUGUAAUUACCUAUAAUCAGGAUGGUUUGAGAGAAAGCUGAUUUGACCCUUUGUGUUGUACUGGAGGAAGUACUGCAGGCACAAAUGUUUACUGUGUAAUUCAUUCACCAUCCAGGUGAAUGAAUUACACACUCAUUCAUUUUAUACCAGUGGGGAUAAAAUGAAUGAGUGCCCCCAGAGCCAGCAGCCACCCUAGAAUACAGUCAGCUCCACCCUCAGCACCAUAGCCAACCCCCACCCUGGGUCGGGCGCAGGAAACAGGGGUGUGAAAAGACUCGCCUGCUCCCCUCCCCACUCAUGUGGACAGUGAAAUGUAAACAGUGAGCAUGUCUGUAUGAAAACUAGAGCGCUAUUAAAAUUGAGGGGACAGACGCAUGAUGAGACUUCAGCAGUGCUCAUCC
Archocentrus centrarchus (flier cichlid) is the source of this 1148-nucleotide long non-coding RNA. RefSeq lists it as uncharacterized. The record is from RefSeq and is a predicted model, not a curated record. NCBI's taxonomy places the organism in Eukaryota, Metazoa, Chordata, Actinopteri, Cichliformes, Cichlidae. The transcript is spliced from 3 exons.